GUAGGGGGCAAGCGUUGUCCGGAAUUAUUGGGCGUAAAGCGCGCGCAGGCGGUUCUUUAAGUCUGAUGUGAAAUCUUGUGGCUCAACCACAAGCGGUCAUUGGAAACUGGGGAACUUGAGUACAGAAGAGGAGAGUGGAAUUCCACGUGUAGCGGUGAAAUGCGUAGAUAUGUGGAGGAACACCAGUGGCGAAGGCGACUCUCUGGUCUGUAACUGACGCUGAGGCGCGAAAGCGUGGGGGGAGCAAACAGGAUUAGAUACCCUGGUAGUCCACGCCGUAAACGAUGAGUGCUAGGUGUUAGGGGGUUUCCGCCCCCCCCUUAGUGCUGCAGCUAACGCAUUAAGCACUCCGCCUGGGGAGUACGGCCGCAAGGCUG
Molecule: ribosomal RNA, 377 nt
Filed under: uncultured organism
Description: partial 16S ribosomal RNA
Rfam family: Bacterial small subunit ribosomal RNA
Source: RNAcentral